UCUCCGUUGAUGAACCAGCGGAGGGAUCAUUACAGGACUCGCAAGACUCCUUCACCCUGUGAACCUCACUACAAGCACGUUGCUUCGGCGGGUGUCCCGGCGGGGGUUUUCCCUCGCCGGGGCGCACAGCCCGCCGGCAGCCUACUAUACUCUGUCUCUUUGCGUUGGCAUCUCGAGAAAAAACAAACAAGUUAAAACUUUCAACAACGGAUCUCUUGGUUCUG
RNAcentral lists this unclassified non-coding RNA (224 nucleotides) under plant metagenome. Its description in RNAcentral is "partial contains small subunit ribosomal RNA, internal transcribed spacer 1, and 5.8S ribosomal RNA". The record is from RNAcentral.